CAGCACGUCAGAGGGGCGAUCUGCUUCUCUCUAAAGAGCACGGAUUUAUCCAUGCCGUGUGACAUGAAUGAAAUGAGAAGUUUUCAGGGCCGCCAAGCUCUCCAUUAAGGUUUUAUGGUAGUAUAUUUCUAAUACAAUU
This is a small nucleolar RNA of Camelus dromedarius (Arabian camel), 139 nucleotides long. The record is from Ensembl. NCBI's taxonomy places the organism in Eukaryota, Metazoa, Chordata, Mammalia, Artiodactyla, Camelidae.